GCCGAUGUAGCUCAGGGGUAGAGCAGUGCAUUCGUAAUGCACCGGUCGGGGGUUCAAAUCCCUUCAUCGGCUCCA
This 75-nucleotide transfer RNA is filed under the name bacterium. RNAcentral describes it as "tRNA-Thr". It matches the Rfam family "tRNA". Rfam says of the family: Transfer RNA (tRNA) molecules are approximately 80 nucleotides in length. Their secondary structure includes four short double-helical elements and three loops (D, anti-codon, and T loops). Further hydrogen bonds mediate the characteristic L-shaped molecular structure. tRNAs have two regions of fundamental functional importance: the anti-codon, which is responsible for specific mRNA codon recognition, and the 3' end, to which the tRNAs corresponding amino acid is attached (by aminoacyl-tRNA synthetases). tRNAs cope with the degeneracy of the genetic code in two manners: having more than one tRNA (with a specific anti-codon) for a particular amino acid; and 'wobble' base-pairing, i.e. permitting non-standard base-pairing at the 3rd anti-codon position. RNAcentral also lists the same sequence under 1 other name. The record is from RNAcentral.